This 120-nucleotide ribosomal RNA is filed under the name Klebsiella pneumoniae. The record is from RNAcentral. Lineage: Bacteria; Pseudomonadati; Pseudomonadota; Gammaproteobacteria; Enterobacterales; Enterobacteriaceae.
CCUGGCGGCACUAGCGCGGUGGUCCCACCUGACCCCAUGCCGAACUCAGAAGUGAAACGCCGUAGCGCAAGUGAAGAGCCCAUCCUGCCGGAUGGGCUUUUUGCGUUUCUGUCGUCCGGC